UUUUGCCAAAGUUAAGCUCAGCAUGUGAUUUAAUCCCAGGGCAAUAAGAAACAAAGCAGGUUUAUGGAACCAUGCUCCCAGGAGUUCUUCAGCUGGUGCAUUCCCCAGGGCACCACAACGUGCAGCUGGAACAGCAAAAACCUGGGAUCGAAAGCUGCCCUGACUUUUAUUGGGAAGUCUCCAGCUGUCUAGUGAAGAAGUCAGAGCUCCAGCUGUUUCCUCCACAUCUGGGCUCUGGUGCUGCUAGCUGCUGUUGGUGAGGUCCCAGCUGGAUUUUCAGAAGUGAGUUCUGCCUUAGCAAAGCCCUUCUUGGCGCAAACUUCUCGGAUGCAUCGAUCAAAGAGACUGGGGUGGCCACAACCUUUCCAGAGUCCCAAAGGAGAAAUAUUAAAUGACGUGAUGUUCCUGUUACACAAGGUGGAGGCAGGAAUGGAGGUGGAGCAGAGCAGCACUCAGAGAAGGAAAAGGAGCUGUGGCCAAAGCCUUGAAGAAAGUCGAGGGGAUGUUCUGCUCCGCUCCCAUUACGAGCUCUACCUCUUCACAUGGUGUUUGUAAACACUGCAGAUUCCCUGCUUCCCUUGGCCAGCACUUUCCUCCCCGAAUUGGAUCGUCUGAAAUCAGCCCUUGCA
Molecule: long non-coding RNA, 629 nt
Organism: Hirundo rustica (Barn swallow)
Lineage: Eukaryota; Metazoa; Chordata; Aves; Passeriformes; Hirundinidae
Exons: 4
Source: RefSeq, a predicted model, not a curated record